GUAGGGAAUAUUGGGCAAUGGAGGCAACUCUGACCCAGCCAUGCCGCGUGCAGGAUGAAGGCCCUCUGGGUUGUAAACUGCUUUUAUCUGGGAAGAAACCUUUGGAUUCAUCUGAAGCUGACGGUACCAGAGGAAUAAGCACCGGCUAACUCCGUGCCAGCAGCCGCGGUAAUACGGAGGGUGCAAGCGUUAUCCGGAUUUACUGGGUUUAAAGGGUGCGCAGGCGGACUGUUAAGUCAGUGGUGAAAGCCCCGGGCUCAACCUGGGAAUUGCCAUUGAUACUGGCGGUCUUGAGUACAGUAGAGGUAGGCGGAAUGCAACAUGUAGCGGUGAAAUGCUUAGAUAUGUUGCAGAACACCGAUUGCGAAGGCAGCUUGCUAUGCUGUUACUGACGCUCAGGCACGAAAGCGUGGGGAUCAAACAGGAUUAGAAACCCCUGUAGUCC
RNAcentral lists this ribosomal RNA (445 nucleotides) under uncultured bacterium. RNAcentral describes it as "partial 16S ribosomal RNA". It matches the Rfam family "Bacterial small subunit ribosomal RNA", at positions 354 to 796 of the family's 1533-position model. The record is from RNAcentral.